UACGUAGGGAGCAAGCGUUGUCCGGAAUUACUGGGUGUAAAGGGUGAGUAGGCGGCAUGGCAAGUCAUAUGUGAAAGACUGAGGCUUAACCUCAGAGGUGCAUAAGAAACUGUAGUUCUUGAGUGCUGGAGAGGCAAUCGGAAUUCCGUGUGUAGCGGUGAAAUGCGUAGAUAUUAGGAGGAACACCAGUGGCGAAGGCGGCUUGCUGGACGACAACUGACGCUGAGGCGCGAAAGCGUGGGGAGCAA
This 248-nucleotide ribosomal RNA is filed under the name uncultured Oscillospiraceae bacterium. RNAcentral's name for it is "partial 16S ribosomal RNA". It matches the Rfam family "Bacterial small subunit ribosomal RNA", at positions 524 to 771 of the family's 1533-position model. The record is from RNAcentral. Lineage: Bacteria; Bacillati; Bacillota; Clostridia; Eubacteriales; Oscillospiraceae.